GAAGUAAAAGUCGUAACAAGGUUUCCGUAGGUGAACCUGCGGAAGGAUCAUUACUGUUGAACAGUUUGGUGGAAUGCACAUGCGUACACACUGUGUGUAUGGCGUUUGAUGAUAAACGUUUGAUCGACGGGGAGAAUGUGAAUAACGGCUAAAUGUGUGCCGUAAACCAUCUGUUGGUUGCUUGAAUACAGUUGCUGUCAGUCAGCAGACAGGUACCAUGGUGCAGGUGAUGAACACACGGGCUGAUAGGUCGAUGGACCAGGCCGCACCGGUUUAAAGGAGCAACGUCCGCCUGAACUGUAGUCGUUGAAUGAAUGACCGAAAUUCGAAAACGGCGUAAACGAUUUUCAGUGAAAAUCACUUACCAUCGAUAUAAAAUGGAAUAUAUGAGAAAGUAUAUUUUGAGCAGUGGAUCACUGGGUUCGUUGGUCGAUGAAAAACGGUGCAAAACUCGAGAGUUUAUGUGAAUUGCAGACAUAUUGAACGUUGAUAUUUUGAACGCAUAUGGUGGCAAAGACUGCUGUCGAUGCCACGGCCGUUUGAGGGUCAGUUGAUGCACUUUGAUAAUCGAAUAGACUGACCGAUCGAUGAUAAUGAUACCGGUGGUCAUGUGAAUAGUUCGAUACCGGUUUAUGUCGUGCUUACGUCGCGUUAUCACCUUAAUGGUGAUGACGGCGAAGACGGCUUAUACGAAGUGUACGGCGUUAUUGAUUGAAUACGCCGGUCGGAGGUAAAAGAUGAAAUGUAAGAAGUCAUCCGUUUCUCCGGUGUUGGACAGAGAAGGACAAAAAGAAAUGCGAUGUUGGCGCUUUCUACAUGAUGGUGUUGGUGUUCGUUUGAAAUGUGAAACGACCUCAAGUCGGUCGAGGCUAACCGCUAAAUUUAAGCAUAUUACUAAGCGGUUGAAAAGAACUAAAAGGAUUUGUUCAGUAGCAGCGAGCGAAAGCGAAAGUUCAUGACUGAUCAGGCAAUGUCUUACAAUGCGUCGGAAAUGUGGUGUGAAGAAUGCUUUGGCACGUGUUCGAUCGAAUAACAAACUCUCUGAACUGAUUCCAGAAGUUGAAGCGUGCACAAUUCUUGUGCAGACACA
RNAcentral lists this ribosomal RNA (1090 nucleotides) under Eustrongylides sp. IK-2014. RNAcentral describes it as "eukaryotic LSU rRNA". The stretch from base 398 to 549 matches the Rfam family "5.8S ribosomal RNA". Lineage: Eukaryota; Metazoa; Nematoda; Enoplea; Dioctophymatida; Dioctophymatidae. The record is from RNAcentral.